GAUGAACGCUGGCGGCGUGCCUAAUACAUGCAAGUCGAGCGAACGGACGAGAAUCUUGCUUCUCUGAUGUUAGCGGCGGACGGGUGAGUAACACGUGGAUAACCUACCUAUAAGACUGGGAUAACUUCGGGAAACCGGAGCUAAUACCGGAUAAUAUUUUGAACCGCAUGGUUCAAAAGUGAAAGACGGUCUUGCUGUCACUUAUAGAUGGAUCCGCGCUGCAUUAGCUAGUUGGUAAGGUAACGGCUUACCAAGGCAACGAUGCAUAGCCGACCUGAGAGGGUGAUCGGCCACACUGGAACUGAGACACGGUCCAGACUCCUACGGGAGGCAGCAGUAGGGAAUCGUGCGCAAUGGGCGAAAGCCUGACGGAGCAACGGCGCGUGAGUGAUGAAGGUCUUCGGAUCGGAAAACUCUGUUAUUAGGGAAGAACAUAUGUGUAAGGAACUGUGCACAUCGUGACGGUACCUAAUCAGAAAGCCACGGCUAACUACGUG
Molecule: ribosomal RNA, 497 nt
Filed under: uncultured bacterium
Lineage: Bacteria
Description: partial 16S ribosomal RNA
Rfam family: Bacterial small subunit ribosomal RNA
Source: RNAcentral